GGACAGAUGGCCGAGCGGUUAAGGCGGUAGACUCAAGUUCUACUAGAGAAAUCUGCGGGGGUUCGAAUCCCCCUCUGUUCA
Molecule: transfer RNA, 81 nt
Filed under: Glarea lozoyensis 74030
Lineage: Eukaryota; Fungi; Ascomycota; Leotiomycetes; Helotiales; Helotiaceae
Also listed under: 1 other name
Description: tRNA-Leu (CAA) (tRNA-Leu-CAA-1-1)
Rfam family: tRNA
About the family: Transfer RNA (tRNA) molecules are approximately 80 nucleotides in length. Their secondary structure includes four short double-helical elements and three loops (D, anti-codon, and T loops).
Source: RNAcentral